AGUAGUUUGACUCCUGGCUACAGAACGACGCUGGCGGCAUGCCUAACACAUGCAAGUCGAACGAAGCCUUCGGGCUUAGUGGCGCACGGGUGCGUAACACGUGGGAAUCUGCCCUUCGGUUCGGAAUAACAGUUAGAAAUGACUGCUAAUACCGGAUGAUGACGUAAGUCCAAAGAUUUAUCGCCGAAGGAUGAGCCCGCGUAGGAUUAGGUAGUUGGUAGGGUAAUGGCCUACCAAGCCGACGAUCCUUAGCUGGUCUGAGAGGAUGAUCAGCCACACUGGGACUGAGACACGGCCCAGACUCCUACGGGAGGCAGCAGUGGGGAAUAUUGGACAAUGGGCGAUAGCCUGAUCCAGCAAUGCCGCGUGAGUGAUGAAGGCCUUAGGGUUGUAAAGCUCUUUACCAGGGAUGAUAAUGACAGUACCUGGAGAAUAAGCUCCGGCUAACUCCGUG
Molecule: ribosomal RNA, 454 nt
Filed under: uncultured bacterium
Lineage: Bacteria
Description: bacterial SSU rRNA
Rfam family: Bacterial small subunit ribosomal RNA
Source: RNAcentral